Quercus lobata is the source of this 914-nucleotide long non-coding RNA. RefSeq lists it as uncharacterized. The record is from RefSeq and is a predicted model, not a curated record. The transcript is spliced from 3 exons. Lineage: Eukaryota; Viridiplantae; Streptophyta; Magnoliopsida; Fagales; Fagaceae.
UAGGGUACUCGAUUUUCAGAACAAUGAGGAAAUCCUCGCUUGAAUUUAUCGAAUUCGACUAAGGGGAAUAGAUGCACCAGAGAAUGCAAUGCCAUAUGGGAAAGAAGCAAAGGAGGAGCUAACAAAGAUUGUGCAAGGAAAGUGCUUGCGAGUCCUUAUUUAUGGGGAAGAUCAAUAUGGCCGUUGCAUAGCUAACAUAUAUUGUGAUGGCAAAUUUGUUCAGGUGCUGUUUCUCAGAACAUUGGUUCCUUUUGCGCUUGUUAACACUGAGCUAACUUAUCCCUCUUUUCUCACUGCCAAGAAUUAAUGCUCAAGAAAGGUUUUGCAUGGCACUAUGCAACCUACGACCAAUGCCCAGAACUUGCAAGAUGGGAAAAAGAGGCUCAAGCCACAAGAGUUGGACUGUGGGCUUCAUCGAAUCCUGAGAAGCCGUGGGAAUGGAGAAAGAAGAAUUAGAAGAAAGGACAAAAGAGAAUAAGGAGAAAGGACAAAAGUGAAGGUAGAUGACAUUUUCCAAAUAGGAAGGAAAGUGAGACCUCCUUUUGACUAAUUAUCUCAUGCAACGGAUUCCUUCCUCUAUCAUUGUAUGAACCUUGCAAUCCUAUAAGAUUCACACAUUGUGAAAGGAAGGAUGAAUAUUUAUCUCCGAUGUAUGAGGUACUUGUUACGGGUGACUGCUUUUAACCAUAUGAGGCUAGAAGGCAAAGCCAAUGCAAUAUAUUAGGACGUACUUCCCAAACUAGGAGUUCGUAGCAACUUGACACCAAAUGUCAAAAGCAUCUCUCUUCAUUUUUAUGUACCAGUCAUAUGAACCAUUAUGUAUUUAAUCUUAGUAAAGGCUGUUGUAAGUUAUGUUUGAAUCAACAACCCAAGUAAGAGGUGGGUUGUAAUUUGUAAGUUGUGUUACCUGAACA